GCCAGCAGCCAUAUCACCCUGCAACUCACAAAUGGUAACCCACUGAAGCUAAGCAGGUGUGAGCCUGAUCAGUACCUGGAUGGGAGAUCUCCUGGGAAAAACUAAGGUUGCUGCUGGAA
Molecule: ribosomal RNA, 119 nt
Organism: Lepisosteus oculatus (spotted gar)
Lineage: Eukaryota; Metazoa; Chordata; Actinopteri; Semionotiformes; Lepisosteidae
Source: Ensembl